RNAcentral lists this ribosomal RNA (255 nucleotides) under uncultured bacterium. RNAcentral describes it as "partial 16S ribosomal RNA". It matches the Rfam family "Bacterial small subunit ribosomal RNA", at positions 15 to 244 of the family's 1533-position model. The record is from RNAcentral.
GAUCCUGGCUCAGGACGAACGCUGGCGGCGUGCUUAACACAUGCAAGUCGAACGAAAAGAGGGAAAGAGCUUGCUCUUUCCGGAAUUGAGUGGCAAACGGGUGAGUAACACGUAAACAACCUGCCUUCAGGAUGGGGACAACAGACGGAAACGACUGCUAAUACCGAAUAAGUUCCAAGGGCCGCAUGGCCCAUGGAAGAAAAGGUGGCCUCUACCUGUAAGCUAUCGCAUGAAGAGGGGUUUGCGUCUGAUUAG